ACCAUGCAACAUCAAUAGAACAAAGUGGAAGAGGCGAGAGAGAGAGUCUCUACCCUCCCCUCCCAUUUCGCGCCGUUUCUCUCCCCUAAAACCGUGAGAGGUGCGUAAACAGGGCAGACGUUCAUUCUAAUUGCGCCGCAGGGAAACAGACGCCGGAGUUAAAUCUAACCAUGGGGAGUUCCACGAGCUACCGGUGUCUCGGUCAUCAUCCGUGGGAGAAAAAUAAACGAAUCACAAGAGUCAGAGACAGUAGAAUAACUUGGCUGCCCGCUUUUCAAACAAAGGCACAGUGGAGAGACGAGAGUGAAUUCAAGCAGGCGUGAGUAGGCUAAUGCAAAUAUGCCUGGGAAGCCGUACUCUAUCAUUCUGAUAUUUGAUCUCUUUGGUGCAUUGUACUAUUUUGGUAGGCUAGUUUAUGACAACGAGCCUCAAUAUGGGGCGACCGACCAUUGAAACAGGUUUAAACUAGGCUGCCGAGGCUACGCCUCUCUCUCAUUCGGUCAAUCUGUCGAGAUUAUGCUGGGAGCGACUAUGCACAGAUGGCUGCUCUAUUAAUCCCACCUCCAGCGCUCUAAAACGCUCUAAAAUCUAUUGCUAUUCCGCUUUGUGUAUCCUAUGUGAGCGGAACCUGGUGAAGACCCAUUACGGUUUACAUUUAGCUGCAAUAAAACAGACCGUCAAGGUAACAAAACAUUAUGCGAGUGUUCUCUUUAUGUGGACCGCAGCAGUGCGUCUUUCUGUAGACGCAUUGCCGCACUGCCCCUCCCCCAUCUCUCUCUCCCUCUCUCUCUGCAUUGCGGGCGAUAGCACAGGCCACAAUAGCGUAUCUAUCACAUAGACUGGAGCGAACGAGAUGAAACACACGCCCCUGAACUAUACAGGCAUUGAAUAAUUACAGCACCUUGUUGCACAGACUAGUGUUUGCAAGAGGGAAUGUUUGUGUGAGAGGGAAAAUUGAGUGGCAAACAAAAUGUAACUACUUAGAGGUUCAUACAGUCAGGAAACCUGAUUGUCAUUCAAUAAUUGUCAGGAUGUUGUACAUGGUGAAAAACAACAAAACACACAGCAAUCACAUAAAACAAGGGUCUUAAGCCUAUGACCAACAGGUGUUUAAAAACGUCAUUUCAGUUCACAUGACAGCAGUGUAUGUCCCCCACACAAAGGCUCCCUUGAGGCUGCAGUAUAAAACAUGCAGUGCCAGUCAAAAGUUUGGACACUUCUACUCAUUCCAGGGGUUUUCUUUAUUUUCACUACUUUCUACAUUGUAGAUGAAUAGAGAAGACAUCAAAACUAUACAAUAACACAUAUGAAUCAUGUAGUAACCAAAAGUGUUAAACAAAUCAAAAUAUAUUUGAGAUUCUUCAAAGUAGCCACCCUUUGCCUUGACAGCUUUGCACACUCUUGGCAUUCUCUCAACCAGCUUCAUGAGGUAGUCACCUGGAAAGCAUUUAAAUGAACAGGUGUGCCUUGUUAAAAGUUCAUUUAUGGAAUGUCUUUCCUUCUUAAUGUGUUUGAGCCAAUCAGCUGAGUUGUGACAAGGUCGGGUGGUAUACAGAAGAUAGCCCCAUUUGGUAAAAUACCAAGUCUAUAUUACAUUGAGAACAGCUCAAAUAAGCAAAGAGAAACGAUAGUCCAUCAUUACUAUAAGACAUUGAAGGUCAGUCAAUCCAGAAAAUGCCCAAAACGUUGAAAGUUUCUUCAAGUGCAGUCACAAAAACCAUCAAGCGCUAUGAUGAAACUGGCUCUCAUGAGGACCACCACAGGAAAGGAAGAGCCAGAGUUACCUCUGCUGCAGAGGAUAAGUUCAUUAGAGUUACCAGCCUCAGAAAUUACUGCCCAAAUAAAUGCUUCACAGAGUUCAAGUAACAGACACAUCUCAACAUCAACUGUUCAGAAGAGACUGUGUGAAUCAGGCCUUCAUGGUCAAAUUGCUGCAAAGAAACCACUACUAAAGGACACAAAUAAGAAAAAGAGACUUGCUUGGGCCAAGAAACACGAACAAUGGACAUUAGACUGGUGGAAAUCUGUCAUUUGGUCUGAUGAGUCCAAAUUUGAGAUUUUUGGUUCCAACUGCCGUGUCUUUGUGAGAUGCAGAGACAAUGACCCAACACACCUCCAGGCUGUGUAAGGACUAUUUGACCAAGAAGGAGAGGGAUGGAGUGCUGCAUCAGAUGACCUGGCCUCCACAAUCACCCGACCUCAACCCAAUUGAGAUAGUUUGGCAUGAGUUGGACCGCAGAGUGAAGGUAAAGCAGCCAACAAGUGCUCAGCACCUUCAAGACUGUUGGAAAAUCAUUCCAGGUGAAGCUGGUUGACAGAAUGCCAAGAGUGUGGAAAGCUGUCAUCAAGGCAAAGGGUGGCUACUUUAAAGAAUCUAAAAUAUAAAAUAUAUUUUGAUUGAACACUUUUAAUACAUUAUUCCAUAUGUGUUAUUUCAUAGUUUUGAUGUAUUCACUAUUAUUCUACAAUGUAGAAAAUAGUAAAAAUAAAGAAAAACCCUUGAAUAGGUGUGUCCAAACUUUCGGCUGGUACUGUAUUACAGGCUCAAAUUAACAAGUCCCAUCAGGCAUAGUGGUAGAAUGUCUCGCCUAUGGAGAAUAAUGACAUUUUUCCAGCCAGUGGCUCUCUAGUGGUGCUGUCCAUGGUGCUGAAACAGGCCUCUACAUUUUCUGUCAUUAUGUGGAAUCCAGACUUUCAGACUCAACACUCACUCAGAGAGAGAUUGUAAGAGAGUGUAUCUGGUCCCAAAACACCCCUUGUCCCUAUUCCUGUCCCCUAUGUGACGUGUAAAUCCAGGCCCCCAUACAACAUGGUGGAAUCUCCCAUCAAACCUAUGGCAUGAUCAGCAACACUCCAAAAAUGCUAUAUUACAUGCAGGAACCCAAAUCUGUAGAAAUAUAUUACAUCCCUAGCCGGCUACCACCCGGUUACUCAACUCCGCACCUUAUAGGCUGUUGACCUAUAUACAUACUGUAGACAUGGAAUCACUGGUCACUUUAAUAAUUAUAACACUGCUUUACUCAUCUCAUAUGUAUAUACUGUAUUCUACUGUAUUUUAGUCAAUGCCACUCCGACAUUGCUCGUCCAAAUAUUUAUAUGUUUCUCCAUUCCAUUCUUUUACUUGUAGAUUUGUGUGUAUUGUUAGAUACUACAGCACUGUUGGAGCUAGGAAAACAAGCAUUUCGCUACACCCGCAAUAACAUCUGCUAAAUGUGUCUAUGUGACCAAUGCAAUUUGAUUUGAUUUAAAACAGUAAAUUGUCUGUCACGUUCUGACCUUAGUUCUGUUAUUAUAUCUUUGUAUUAGUAUGGUCAGGGCGUGAGUUGGGUGGGCAGUCUAUGUUUGUUUUUCUAUGUUGGUUUUUGAGUUCGGCCUAGUAUGGUUCUCAAUCAGAGGCAGCUGUCAAUUGUAGUCCCUGAUUGAGAAUCAUACUUAGGUAGCCUGGGUUUCACUUUUGGGUUGUGGGUGUUUGUUUUCCGUGUUUUCGGUUUUGUAUAUUCACGUCAUCGUUUGUUGUUUUGUUCCAGUGUUCUAUUGUCUUGAUUAAAAAACAUUAUGGACACCUAC
Oncorhynchus masou masou (cherry salmon) is the source of this 3567-nucleotide long non-coding RNA. RefSeq lists it as uncharacterized. The transcript has 2 exons. The record is from RefSeq and is a predicted model, not a curated record. NCBI's taxonomy places the organism in Eukaryota, Metazoa, Chordata, Actinopteri, Salmoniformes, Salmonidae.